Molecule: ribosomal RNA, 253 nt
Filed under: uncultured bacterium
Lineage: Bacteria
Description: partial 16S ribosomal RNA
Rfam family: Bacterial small subunit ribosomal RNA
Source: RNAcentral
UACGUAGGCAGCGAGCGUUGUUCGGAGUUACUGGGCGUAAAGAGUGCGUAGGCGGUUUUCUAAGUUUGGUGUGAAAUCUCCCGGCUCAACUGGGAGGGUGCGCCGAAGACUGGAAGGCUUGAGUAUGGGAGAGGUAAGCGGAAUUCCUGGUGUAGCGGUGAAAUGCGUAGAUAUCAGGAGGAAUACCGGUGGCGAAAGCGACUCUCUGGACGGCAACUGACGCUGAGGAGCGAAAGCGUGGGUAGCAAACAGG